AAUGGGGGAACCCACUAGUUUGAAGAACUAGUAUCCAGUAAUGGAAGGUAUACGCGGUGAACUGAAACAUCUUAGUAACCGUAGGAAAAGAAAGCAAAAGCGAUUCUCUUAGUAGCGGCGAGCGAAAAGGGACCAGCCCAGUUAUAACAUUGGAGUUACAAAAUUUCAUGAUAGUUGAAGUGUGUGGGAAAGCACACCAUAGAAGGUGAGAGUCCUGUAAACGAAAUUGUGAAAUCUCCGUUAUACGAAGAGUACGGCGAGACACGAGUAAUCUUGUCGGAAUAUGCGAGGACCAUCUCGUAAGGCUAAAUACUACCAAUUGACCGAUAGUGAACCAGUACCGUGAGGGAAAGGUGAAAAGAACCGCGGGAGCGGAGUGAAAAGAUCCUGAAACCUUGUGCUUACAACAAGUUAGAGCCCGUUAAUGGGUGAUAGCGUGCCUUUUGUAGAAUGAACCGGCGAGUUACUAUAACAUGCAAGGUUAAACUUUGAGGAGUGGAGCCGUAGCGAAAGCGAGUCUUAACCGGCGAUAUUAGUAUGUUGUAGUAGACCCGAAACUGGGUGAGCUAGCCAUGAGCAGGUUGAAGUUGGGGUAAGACCCAAUGGAGGACCGAACCAGGACACGUUGAAAAGUGUUUGGAUGACUUGUGGCUAGAGGUGAAAUUCCAAUCGAACCCAGAUAUAGCUGGUUCUCACCGAAAUAGCUUUAGGGCUAGCGUUGUGAUUAAGUGGUAUGCAGGUAGAGCACUGAAUGGUUGAUGGUCCCAUCCCGGGAUACUGAUAUCAAUCAAACUCCGAAUGGCAUACUUACAUGCACAGCAGUCAGACUACGGGUGAUAAGGUCCGUGGUCGAGAGGGAAACAGCCCAGACCGCCAAUUAAGGUCCCUAAAUUCAUGUUAAGUGGAAAAGGAUGUGGAGUUGUUUAGACAACUAGGAGGUUGGCUUAGAAGCAGCCAUCCUUUAAAGAGUGCGUAAUAGCUCACUAGUCGAAUGAUUCUGCGCCGAAGAUGUACCGGGGCUAAACAUGGUACCGAAACUGCGGAUUCGCAUUUAUGCGAGUGGUAGGUGAGCGUUGUGAUUGCGGUGAAGUUAGACCGAGAGGACUAUUGGAGCGAUCACAAGUGAGAAUGCCGGUGUGAGUAAUGAAAAGUAGGGUGAGAAUCCCUACCGUCAAAAGUCUAAGGUUUCCAGAGGAAGGUUCGUCCGCUCUGGGUUAGUCUGGGCCUAAGGUGAGGCUGAAAAGCGUAGCCGAUGGAUAAAAGGUUGAUAUUCCUUUACCACUUUAUGAACUGAUGGAGUGACGGAGAAAGAUAGCGAAUGCCACUUAGUGGAUUGUGGUUUAAGCGUUUAGGCUAUGUUAUAGGUAAAUCCGUAACAUAUUAAGGCUGAGGCGUUAUGACGUAAGAUUUGUGAAUCUAUGCUUCCAAGAAAAGCUUCUAGGGUUAAUUUAUAGAGUGCCAGUACCGCAAACCGACACAGGUAGACGAGGAGAGAAUCUAAAGACGCGCGAGAUAACUCUUGUUAAGGAACUCGGCAAAAUGACCCCGUAACUUCGGGAUAAGGGGAGCUCUACAAUGUAGAGCCGCAGAGAAUAGGCCCAAGCGACUGUUUAUCAAAAACACAGCUCUAUGCUAAAUCGCAAGAUGAUGUAUAUGGGGUGACGCCUGCCCAGUGCUGGAAGGUUAAGAGGAGUGCUUAGCUUCGGCGAAGGUGCGAAUUGAAGCCCCAGUGAACGGCGGCCGUAACUAUAACGGUCCUAAGGUAGCGAAAUUCCUUGUCGGGUAAGUUCCGACCCGCACGAAAGG
RNAcentral lists this ribosomal RNA (1806 nucleotides) under marine metagenome. RNAcentral's name for it is "bacterial LSU rRNA". It matches the Rfam family "Bacterial large subunit ribosomal RNA", at positions 117 to 1999 of the family's 2925-position model. The record is from RNAcentral.